Molecule: non-coding RNA, 293 nt
Organism: Picea glauca (white spruce)
Lineage: Eukaryota; Viridiplantae; Streptophyta; Pinopsida; Pinales; Pinaceae
Source: Rfam
AAUGUGAUUUAUUCCCAUUGCUAUGCAUGUCAAAGUGAAUAAAUUCAACCAAGCACAAGUAAACAACGAGAGUAACUAUGACUAUAUUAAGGUAGUCAUAUGUCUCAUCAUCUAAUUAGUGAUGUGCAGGAAUGGAUCAUUAACGAGAUUCCCCAUUGUCCCUAGUUACUAUAUUCUAGAGAAACCACAUCCAAGGGAAUGGGCUUGGCAGAAUUAGCUGGGAAAGAAGACCCACAUGUUGAGAUUGACUCUAGUCCUAACCCAUUCAUAGUUUGGGAAAAUUAGGGCAUAGU